CACGCUGUAAACGAUGAACACUUGGUGUGCCGGGAGUUGACCCCCGGCGUGCCGGAGCUAACGCGUUAAGUGUUCCGCCUGGGGANGCAACGCGAAGAACCUUACCUGGGCUUGAACUGAUAUGGACCGGUGCAGAGAUGUGCCUUUUCGCAAGAACUGUAUCAGAGGUGC
RNAcentral lists this ribosomal RNA (171 nucleotides) under uncultured bacterium. RNAcentral describes it as "partial 16S ribosomal RNA". The stretch from base 1 to 79 matches the Rfam family "Bacterial small subunit ribosomal RNA", at positions 796 to 873 of the family's 1533-position model. The record is from RNAcentral.